AGUGAACGCUGGCGGUAGGCCUAACACAUGCAAGUCGAACGGCAGCACAGUAAGAGCUUGCUCUUACGGGUGGCGAGUGGCGGACGGGUGAGGAAUACAUCGGAAUCUACUUUUUCGUGGGGGAUAACGUAGGGAAACUUACGCUAAUACCGCAUACGACCUACGGGUGAAAGCAGGGGAUCUUCGGACCUUGCGCGAUUGAAUGAGCCGAUGUCGGAUUAGCUAGUUGGCGGGGUAAAGGCCCACCAAGGCGACGAUCCGUAGCUGGUCUGAGAGGAGGAUCGGCCACACUGGAACUGAGACACGUCCCAGACUCCUACGGGAGGCAGAAGUGGGGAAUAUUGGACAAUGGGCGCAAGCCUGAUCCAGCCAGACCGCGGGGGUGAAGAAGGCCUUCGGGUUGUAAAGCCCUUUUGUUGGGAAAGAAAAGCAGCAGGUUAAUACCCCGCUGUUCGGACGGUACCCAAAGAAUAAGCACCGGCUAACUUCGU
Molecule: ribosomal RNA, 491 nt
Filed under: uncultured bacterium
Lineage: Bacteria
Description: partial 16S ribosomal RNA
Rfam family: Bacterial small subunit ribosomal RNA
Source: RNAcentral